GACGAACGCUGGCGGCGUGCUUAACACAUGCAAGUCGAACGGAAAGGCCCUGCUUUUGUGGGGUGCUCGAGUGGCGAACGGGUGAGUAACACGUGAGUAACCUGCCCUUGACUUUGGGAUAACUUCAGGAAACUGGGGCUAAUACCGGAUAGGAGCUCCUGCUGCAUGGUGGGGGUUGGAAAGUUUCGGCGGUUGGGGAUGGACUCGCGGCUUAUCAGCUUGUUGGUGGGGUAGUGGCUUACCAAGGCUUUGACGGGUAGCCGGCCUGAGAGGGUGACCGGCCACAUGGGGACUGAGGUACGGCCCAGACUGCUACGGGAGGCAGCAGUGGGGAAUAUUGCACAAUGGGGGGAAGCGUGAUGCAGCGACGCCGCGUGCGGGAUGACGGCCUUCGGGGUGUAAACCGCUUUCGCCUGUGACGAAGCGUGAGUGACGGUAAUGGGUAAAGAAGCACCGGCUAACUACGUG
This 468-nucleotide ribosomal RNA is filed under the name uncultured bacterium. RNAcentral's name for it is "partial 16S ribosomal RNA". It matches the Rfam family "Bacterial small subunit ribosomal RNA", at positions 28 to 507 of the family's 1533-position model. The record is from RNAcentral.